This 420-nucleotide ribosomal RNA is filed under the name uncultured bacterium. RNAcentral's name for it is "bacterial SSU rRNA". It matches the Rfam family "Bacterial small subunit ribosomal RNA", at positions 356 to 773 of the family's 1533-position model. The record is from RNAcentral.
AAGGAAUAUUGGUCAAUGGGCGCAAGCCUGAACCAGCCAUCCCGCGUGAAGGAUGAAGGGGCUCUGCCUUGUAAACUUCUUUUGUCUGGGGCGAAAAAGCUCGAUUUAUCGAGAACUGACGGUACCAGAAGAAUAAGCACCGGCUAACUCCGUGCCAGCAGCCGCGGUAAUACGGAGGGUGCAAGCGUUAUCCGGAAUCACUGGGUUUAAAGGGUGCGUAGGCGGCUUAGUAAGUCAGUGGUGAAAGGCUGUGGCUUAACCAUGGAAUUGCCAUUGAUACUGCAGAGCUUGAAUGAGGUUGAGGUUGGCGGAAUGUGACAUGUAGCGGUGAAAUGCUUAGAUAUGUCAUGGAACACCGAUUGCGAAGGCAGCUGACUGGACCUAUAUUGACGCUGAGGCACGAAAGCGUGGGGAGCGAAC